AACGAACGCUGGCGGCAUGCCUAACACAUGCAAGUCGAACGAGGCCUUCGGGUCUAGUGGCGCACGGGUGCGUAACGCGUGGGAACCUGCCCUUAGGUUCGGAAUAACUCCCCGAAAGGGGUGCUAAUACCGGAUAAUGUCUUCGGACCAAAGAUUUAUCGCCUUUGGAUGGGCCCGCGUUGGAUUAGCUAGUUGGUAGGGUAAAAGCCUACCAAGGCGACGAUCCAUAGCUGGUCUGAGAGGAUGGUCAGCCACACUGGGACUGAGACACGGCCCAGACUCCUACGGGAGGCAGCAGUGGGGAAUAUUGGACAAUGGGCGAAAGCCUGAUCCAGCAAUGCCGCGUGAGUGAUGAAGGCCUUAGGGUUGUAAAGCUCUUUUACCCGGGAUGAUAAUGACAGUACCGGGAGAAUAAGCUCCGGCUAACUCCGUG
RNAcentral lists this ribosomal RNA (433 nucleotides) under uncultured bacterium. RNAcentral's name for it is "partial 16S ribosomal RNA". It matches the Rfam family "Bacterial small subunit ribosomal RNA", at positions 29 to 507 of the family's 1533-position model. The record is from RNAcentral.